AAUCCAUUGAAGAUGGGAGAAAUGUUGAUUAUAUAGAGACGGAGCAGCUGAACCCUCAGACGCAGAUGUGAUUCGGCACGGAUCCAGCGGCACUAAAACUACAUACAGGAGACGACAACAAAUAAUGUGAGGAGCAGAAACACAAGAGAAACAUGGAGGAGAUAAAGCUGAUCCUUCACUGCAGCAGAACUCCUGAGCAGCAUCUGAGUGCUGCAUCUGCUGAAGCGUUUGUAAGCGUAUCAUUUCUGCAGGAUUCUUGGGUCGUGAUGUAGCCUAAAACCCAGAGGCUCACGGGGGUCUGAUGCCGGUUCAUCAGGAUGGAGCCCGCGGGCCGCUGCUGUAGAUGUGCAGUGGAGUGUGUCAGACGCUGGAUGAGAUGAGAUGAAGCCUACAGAUGCACGGUCUGAAUAUAUGACUGAAUCAUGAAACACUCACUCUGCUGGUUGCCAAGGCGUUGCUAUGUGGUUGCUAGGGUGAUCUGUGUGGUUGCUAGGUGUUUUCUUCCUAUCUCACAUAUGGCUUGGGUCCCUCCUUUAAUGUGCGUCUGUGGGAUUUUUGUCCGCCUGUUUUAUCGUCCAGCACAGGGAUACACUAUUUAUUUUGUCAACCAAAACCUGAAAUAUUCACUUCAAGUUCCCC
This is a long non-coding RNA of Sinocyclocheilus anshuiensis, 639 nucleotides long. RefSeq lists it as uncharacterized. NCBI's taxonomy places the organism in Eukaryota, Metazoa, Chordata, Actinopteri, Cypriniformes, Cyprinidae. The record is from RefSeq and is a predicted model, not a curated record. The transcript is spliced from 3 exons.